This 230-nucleotide ribosomal RNA is filed under the name uncultured bacterium. RNAcentral's name for it is "partial 16S ribosomal RNA". It matches the Rfam family "Bacterial small subunit ribosomal RNA", at positions 540 to 769 of the family's 1533-position model. The record is from RNAcentral.
GUUAUCCGGAAUCACUGGGCGUAAAGAGCGUGUAGGCGGGUAUAUAAGUCAGAAGUGAAAUCCAAUAGCUCAACUAUUGAACUGCUUUUGAAACUGUAUACCUAGAAUGUGGGAGAGGUAGAUGGAAUUUCUGGUGUAGGGGUAAAAUCCGUAGAGAUCAGAAGGAAUACCGAUUGCGAAGGCGAUCUACUGGAACAUUAUUGACGCUGAGACGCGAAAGCGUGGGGAGC